GAUGAACGCUGGCGGCGUGCCUAAUACAUGCAAGUCGAGCGAACAGACGAGGAGCUUGCUCCUCUGAUGUUAGCGGCGGACGGGUGAGUAACACGUGGAUAACCUACCUAUAAGACUGGGAUAACUUCGGGAAACCGGAGCUAAUACCGGAUAACAUGUUGAACCGCAUGGUUCAACAGUGAAAGACGGUCUUGCUGGCACUUAUAGAUGGAUCCGCGCCGCAUUAGCUAGUUGGUAAGGUAACGGCUUACCAAGGCAACGAUGCGUAGCCGACCUGAGAGGGUGAUCGGCCACACUGGAACUGAGACACGGUCCAGACUCCUACGGGAGGCAGCAGUAGGGAAUCUUCCGCAAUGGGCGAAAGCCUGACGGAGCAACGCCGCGUGAGUGAAGAAGGUCUUCGGAUCGUAAAACUCUGUUAUUAGGGAAGAACAAAUGUGUAAGUAACUAUGCACGUCUUGACGGUACCUAAUCAGAAAGCCACGGCUAACUACGUG
Molecule: ribosomal RNA, 497 nt
Filed under: uncultured bacterium
Lineage: Bacteria
Description: partial 16S ribosomal RNA
Rfam family: Bacterial small subunit ribosomal RNA
Source: RNAcentral